Molecule: transfer RNA, 73 nt
Filed under: Omnitrophica WOR_2 bacterium RIFCSPHIGHO2_02_FULL_45_21
Lineage: Bacteria; Pseudomonadati; Candidatus Omnitrophota
Description: tRNA-Ala
Rfam family: tRNA
About the family: Transfer RNA (tRNA) molecules are approximately 80 nucleotides in length. Their secondary structure includes four short double-helical elements and three loops (D, anti-codon, and T loops). Further hydrogen bonds mediate the characteristic L-shaped molecular structure. tRNAs have two regions of fundamental functional importance: the anti-codon, which is responsible for specific mRNA codon recognition, and the 3' end, to which the tRNAs corresponding amino acid is attached (by aminoacyl-tRNA synthetases). tRNAs cope with the degeneracy of the genetic code in two manners: having more than one tRNA (with a specific anti-codon) for a particular amino acid; and 'wobble' base-pairing, i.e. permitting non-standard base-pairing at the 3rd anti-codon position.
Source: RNAcentral
GGGCCCGUAGUUCAGUUGGGAGAACGCUACAUUCGCAUUGUAGAGCUCAGCGGUUCGAACCCGCUCGGGUCCA